CCACAACUGUCUGCACCUGACAGUUCUUGGAGAGCUGGAGACCGUUGACCAGGCUGAGGGCUGACACAGGACACCUCAGAAGUGAGAAGGCGGGCCUUUCAGGACCAGAGAUGGAGUCCUGUCCAGGCGUCAUGUGGCCAUCACUGGUGUUGCUGCUUUUGCUGCUUCCUACUGCCCAUGGCGCUCCUCACCCGGCUGCUGACCUCCAGGAAAGCUUUCCAAGCGUACUCGAAGAAAUCCAAACUGAAGGAGACAGAGGCCUGUGGAGGGAAGACAACCCGUUUGCUGGCCCCCGCUGUCCUCCUGGCUCAUGAGGUGACUGCUGUGUGGUCCAGAAGCUGGGGGCGAGGACCUAUGGCCUCAUGAGAGCUACCAGGCACAGGAUUGGGGGCUCCCCACUCCUGCUCCCAAGACCCACUUGUCCCCCUCCGGGCCCUUGAGCUGCUGAAUGGGCUGGGGGUGGACACCAGUAUCCUAGCAGGGGCAGAUGUGGACCUCACCAGACUCAUCUGCAGCACCAUUUAAAAAUAAAAGUUAUUUCUUCAA
Molecule: long non-coding RNA, 546 nt
Organism: Phodopus roborovskii (desert hamster)
Lineage: Eukaryota; Metazoa; Chordata; Mammalia; Rodentia; Cricetidae
Exons: 3
Source: RefSeq, a predicted model, not a curated record